GCCAGCUUAGCUCAGUGGUUAGAGCACUGGUCUUGUAAACCAGGGGUCGCUAGUUCAAUUCUGGCAGUUGGCA
Rhagoletis zephyria (snowberry fruit fly) is the source of this 73-nucleotide non-coding RNA. NCBI's taxonomy places the organism in Eukaryota, Metazoa, Arthropoda, Insecta, Diptera, Tephritidae. The record is from the annotation of a RefSeq genome assembly.